This 830-nucleotide non-coding RNA is filed under the name Microtermes sp. BDIT8-M2B. Lineage: Eukaryota; Metazoa; Arthropoda; Insecta; Blattodea; Termitidae. The record is from RNAcentral.
AAGAAGUUUUAUUCUUGCUUUUUCAUUUAGUUCUUGUUUGUUCUAUAUGUGAGUUUGUGCGUGUGUUUUAUUUGCCUGGCUCUAAGAUGGGUUUAGUGGGCGGCGUUGGUCUUGUUUGUUUAUUUUCAUUAGUUGUUAUUGGUUUGAUCAAGUAUUCUUGUAUCUAGCAAUUCAUUUUAGUUUCGGUUAAAUUUUGUGCCAGCAGCCGCGGUUAUACCUUGGAGGCGAUUGAAUGUAUUUGGUGUGUUGGUAGUUGUAUGUUUAUAUUUUGUUGAUUUUCUUUGAUUGGUUUUAUUGAGGUGAAAUUUUUAUUUUUGUUUAUUGUUUGUUAUUUGUUUGGAGGCUCUGAGACUUUUAAUUUUAGACUAGGAUUAGAUACCCUAUUAUUUUUGAGUGUUAAUGUUUUAUGCCUGAGUAGUAUUAGUUAUGUUCUUGAAACUUAAAGAAUUUGGCGGUAUCUUAUUCCAUUCAGAGGAAUCUGUCUCGUUAUCGAUAGUCCGCGUUGGACCUUGCUUGGAGUUGGUGUGGUUUGUAUACCGCCGUUUAUUGAUUAUCCUUUGAGGGUUAAUUUUCUGGCUUCUUUAUUUUGGUUAAUUUCAGGUCAAGGUGCAGCCUUUAUCUAAGUGUAAUGAUGGAUUACAGUGUUAUUUGUUGUUUGGAUUGUUUGGUUUUAAUACUGACAUGAAAUUGGAUUUGGUUGUAAUGUUUUGUAGAUUGUUUUCAUGAUAGUUGGUUCUGAGAUAUGUACACAUCGCCCGUCGCUCUCGUUUAGUUAUUAAUGAGAUAAGUCGUAACAAAGUGGCUGUACCGGAAGGUGUGGCUGGAAUGGA